This 457-nucleotide ribosomal RNA is filed under the name uncultured bacterium. RNAcentral's name for it is "bacterial SSU rRNA". It matches the Rfam family "Bacterial small subunit ribosomal RNA", at positions 340 to 786 of the family's 1533-position model. The record is from RNAcentral.
UACGGAAGGCAGCAGGGGGAAUAUUGCACAAUGGGCGAAAGCCUGAUGCAGCUAUGCCGCGUGUAUGAAGAAGGCCUUAGGGUUGUAAAGUACUUUCAUCGGGGAGGAAAAAACAAAACUAAUAAUUUUAUUUCUUGACGUUACCCGAAAAAGAAGCACCGGCUAACUCCGUGCCAGCAGCCGCGGUAAUACGGAGGGUGCUAGCGUUAAUCAGAAUUACUGGGCGUAAAGAGCACGUAGGUGGUUUUUUUAAAGUCAGAUGUGAAAUCCCUGGGCUUAACCUAGGAACUGCAUUUUGAAACUGAAAUACUAGAGUAUCGUAGAGGGAGGUAGAAUUCUAGGUGUAGCGGUGAAAUGCGUAGAUAUCUGGAGGAAUACCUGUGGCGAAAGCGGCCUCCUAAACGAAUACUGACACUGAGGUGCGAAAAGCGUGGGGAGCAAACAGGGAUUAGAUACC